Molecule: long non-coding RNA, 5473 nt
Filed under: Sus scrofa (pig)
Lineage: Eukaryota; Metazoa; Chordata; Mammalia; Artiodactyla; Suidae
Description: lncRNA (ENSSSCG00045025891.1)
Source: RNAcentral
UCAGAAAUGAGAACAGUCAAUAUAAUACCAGCAAUAUUCUAAAAUCGGUGAUCAAAAAGCAUGCUGCCUUCAUUAGUUCCUGUAGUCUUGUUUAAUUAUUUUUUUGUUCCAUUGGCUCUUGGGUCAACCAUUGGCUUUUAUGAAGUCAUAAAACAGUCCUGGAACACCACACACGGCCUCUAAUAUCAUCUGGCAAUUGUCUAAGAAAUAUCACCUUGCAAGCCUGCAACAGGGCAUCCGUUACUUGAUGUUGCCAUCAAACUCAGUUCAGUUGUUUCCACAAGGUUCUGAGACUGUUCUUGGUUGAAGACGCAGUUGCUGCUGUGACUUGAAAGAUUUUAUAUAAAUGUGAGGAGGAGCAGGAACUACCUGUUGAUGAUAAGACUGAAUGGCUGUAGUUAAUUUAUUACAUAUCCAACAAUAUCUAAGGAAGGAGAGUAUCAUCUCCUGUCAGGGUAGGAUGUUUAACUGUUUAAUUAACAUUUUACCUGGAACUUCCCUCAUGGCUCAGUGGGUUAAGGAUCCAGCAUUCUCACUGCUGUGGCUCUGGUUACAGCUGUGGCUCAGGUUCAAUCCCCAGCCCGGGAACUUCUGCAUGCCACAAGUGCGACCAAAAAAGCAAACAUUUUACCUUGACAGAAUCAAUCAAAGGAAGGCUGACUUUUUCUUGUAAUUUGACAGUUCUUGCGAUGCAAGAAGGCUGUGGAGCUGUAACCCUUUCCUGGCCUGACUCUGCCAGAAAGUGUGGGCAGAGCGGGCAUGUUCCAUUCUGGCGGUGGAGGAAAGAGUGGCACAGAUCCUUCCAGCAGGGCAUGCUAAAGAGGAAAUAACAGCUUCCCUCCAGCUGAGCUAUUUGGAACAGUAGAAAAAUAGUCUACAAUGAUUUCCUCUUCUCAAAGGGUGAUUUCAACCUGAGGGCUAGAUUCGGGGAAAAAAGUCCUGGGUUGACAGACGGUUGUCUAAUUCCAUUCCUUAUCAUGCGUGGAGUUGGGGUAAUGUGCUUAAAGGGGAACAGGAGGUGGUGCAAAGAGCUGGGAUCAAGAACUCUUCCUCACAGUGAUGUCUCAGUGGAAAAAUCCUGAAAGACUCCUGCUGCAGAGGCUCCUGGCAAAAUAGAGAUUUAUCGUUGCAUCCAGGAAGGAACGUUUUUCUUUAAUGCCUAUUGUGUUACAGGGUGAAGGCCUUGGGCUUGCAAACUUGAAAUUUGAAAGCAGGUCAUGUUAACAUUUCUGUACGAAUUCAGUUUCACUUGCUUAUUGUUCAGCACUACGUUAGGGUCAGAAAUUAAACAUGUCAAGGAACAUUUUAUUUUUGGGGCCUUGUUGCUGGGCCUCUAAAUGUCUUGAUCUAAAAAAAUAAUAAUAAUAAAAAAUAAAAGUUGGAAAUUAAGUUGGCAACUGCAUCCAAGAAGAAAAGUGUAUGUAUCAGGAUUCUGGAAAUAACUACUGACUUUGGCUUUGAACUUGGGUUCCUCUUCUAUGAGUUCAGCUCUGGGAAAGUAGACCAUAGGUUCCCCUGAUCAUUCUGAAGUCCUUCAGAAUGGGAAAAGCUGAUGGUGAAAAGAGAGAGAAGGGUAAACUGAGACAGAGGGUAGCCAGGAUCACAGCUGGUGUCCAGGGAAGGGGGCGAUAGAGGGUUUUCUGGAAAUGAAUGGCUUUGGCAGUUCACUCAAAUGGCAUUCUUCUCCUGCCCUUAUGUUUUAUUUAUAAAUUAAUACCCAUUCUUAUAUAAAAUCCAAAUAUUAUGGCAAAAAUGUCUCAUUCCCAGUUCUAUGAGCUUUCUGUUGCCUAUGCUUCCAAUUAUUUUUAUAUAUCUAUGCUAAUGUACUUUUAAAAUUGUACUCAUCCAAAAUCAGGAUCAUAGGCCAUGUAAUGUUUUUUUCACUUGGCUGCACCUAUGACAUGCAGAAGUUCCAGGCCAGAGAUUGAACCUAUGCCACUGCAGUAACCAGAGCCGCUUCAGUGACAACACCAGGUCCUUAACCCACUGAGCCGCCAGGGAACUCUGCUAUGUAAUGUUUUGUGCCCUGCCUUUUUUUGUGUUUUAUAGGCAUGUUUGUAUGGAGGGUCACAUCCAUCUGUCUCUCUCUCUUCCCCCCACUCCUUCCACUUGACCACCUCUCUCUUGCCUGCCAGUUCUGUUUCCCUGAAUCCAGACUUAAAUAUGUAAUGACCGCCCAGCGUUUCUCUUGGGAUGCCCAGAGUCAUAUCAGAAUUUUCCAAAUGAAACUCCUAAUCUACCCCCAAAUCUCUGCCUUCCUCCUGCAGUAUCUGCAUCUUAGUCAGUGGCCGCUCCGUAUUUUGAUCUGCUGAAGUUAAAAAAAAAAAAAUCUUCCUCUCACAAGUCACACAAAAUUAUCGUAUUAUGUCUUUCGAAUAGCUUUUCAGAUAUAUCCAAAUGUUUCACUGUAGUUGAUUUACAGGGUCGUGUUAGUUUCUGGUGUACAGCAAAGUGAUUCAGUUACACAAAUGUAUAUUGUUUUUCACAUUCCUUUCCAUUAUCGUUUAUCACAAGAUAUUGAAUAUAGUUCCCUGUGCUAUACGGUAAGUUCUCGUAAUGUAUCUAUUUUAUGUAUAAUAGUUUGUAUCUGUGAAUCCCAAAUUCCUAAUUUAUCCUACCCUCUCCCUUUCCCCUUUGGAACGAUAAAUUUGUAUUGUAUGUCUCUGAGUGAGUCAGAGUUUGUUUCGUAAAUAAGUUUAUUUGUUUCAUAUUUCACAUCCCACAUAUAAGUAAUAUCAUAUGAUUUUUGUCUUUGACUCACUUCACAGUGGUCAUCUCUAGGUCCAUCCAUGUAGCUGCAAAUGGCAUGAUUUUGUUCUUUUUUACAGCUGAGUGGUUUUCCAUUGUAUACAUGUACCACAUCUUUAUACAUAAAUUUGUUGGUGGACAUGUAGGUUGUUUCCAUGUCUUAGCUUUUGUGAGGAGUGCUGCAGGGAACAUGAGGGUGCAUGCAUCUUUUCAAAUCAUGGUUCUCAUUUUUUCCAGCUAUAUGCACAGAAGGGAAAUUGCACAAUCAUAUGGUAGUUCUAUUUUUAAUUUUUUGAGGAAGCUCCCUGCUGUUUUCCAUGGUGGCUGCACCACUUUACAUUCCCACCAACGCUGUAGGAGGGUUUCCUUUUCUCCACAACCUCUCUAGCAUUUGUGAUUUGUAGGAAUUGUAAUGAUGCCCACGCUGACCAGUAUGAAAUGACACCUCACUGGAGUUUUUAUUUGCAUUUCUCUAAUAAUUAGCAGUGUUGAGCAUCUUUUCAUGUGCCUAUGGGCUGCCGCAUCUCCUCUUGAACCACUGCUUCCUCAGCUCCAGGUACACAGACCCCCGUGAACCCCUCAAAUGUGCCCUCACAUCCUGCCUCAGCCUGGGCCAUCUUCCCAGGCACCUACAUGGCUCCCUCCGUCUGCCACCUUUCAAUGGCUGCACACGUGACCUUCUCAGGAAACCAUCCCCAGCACUUCUGAUCUCUCUUUCCUCCUUUAUUUUUCUCUAUACCAUUUAUCACUUUCUAAUACAUUAGAUGUAAUUUCCUUACCUGUUCUUUUAUGGUCUGACUUGCCCAACUAGAAUGGAAGGUACGUGAGGGCUUUUUGUCUGAAUUUGCAGCAAUAGUUUGUUUGAGUCUACCCCAUUCUUUUUAAAGCAUUGUCCAUGACAUAGAUACACCAUAGAUUAUAAUGUUCAAAAGGAGAAAAAGAUUCAUGGUGACAAGAGAUCAUCUGUAGGAGGUACUUAAUUAAUAUGCAUAUUAAGUCCUUGAUGUGUAUGUUUAAUUCUUCUAACAACCAAAUGAUGUCUUUGGUGUUGCUGGUGAGAACAUUUGGGAUUGGGAGCUUUUCAGUACCUCGCCUGAGGCCGCACAGCUCAUCAAUGAAGGAGGAGGGGUUUGAAGUCUUUCCUAGAUGAGCGCUCUUACCCUCAUGUUAUACUGUGUUUGUAACCUGAACUGAAUGUCCAUUGAGAGGGCAGGCUUCCUUUGGAAAACAGAGACAGGCAAAAACAACCCACACUCGUCCCUUCCGCAUUUUAACCUACAUUUCCCCAUGCUUUCAGUGCUCAGAGGAUGCUCUCCUUCACCGAGCCCGUGGCCCUUCCCCCUCUGAUGGAAUUUAUCCAAGGUCAGAGCAUCCCUCUCCCACCCAUUUUCUCUUCUUUCUUUCUGGAAGCCCCCUUAGUUCUCUGAAGUUUACCGAAAGCCUGGCCUGGGCUCAUUCCACACCACCGUACCACACGUUCCUGAGAGCCACAAGUUUCCCACCUUAGAGAUAAAAAUUCAUUUGUAAUCUGUCCUGAAGCCCAUGUUCUUCCGUUGCCCUGCUCUGAAUUGCUGUGAGGAGAAAAGACAGCCUUACAAUACGAAAUAAAUUGAAAUGAUAAUGAAAGAGAGCAAGCAGCUGCCCACCCCCGCCCCCCAACCCCAGCAAACCAACUGCUUAGUAAACUCUUAGUAGCCUCUUCCUUCCCAGAGCCAAGUGUUACAGUGGGAGCCCAGGCCUUGGCGGAGGGGUGAGCGGCUCAGGCUAGCAGGUGUAGUGAGAAUUAAAUGAGCUCAAUUGUAACAAUCAAUGUAGUUAGGGCCCCCAGAUACAGCUGUUGUAUCCUCAUCUUGAUGACGAUCCUGUUUAGCAACUCAAGAGUGGCAAUCAGAGAUAAAGGAGGCUGGAUGUCCCUUGGAUUACCUAACAUCAGGACUAUAUCAGGAUGCCAGCGAAAACUCAGCAUAAGCGCUUGUAUAGAUAUAUCGAAAUAGACAUUAAGAUGGCUCGAGAGUGUAGCCACAACAAAAACAGCGAGUCAGCUCUCUUCAGACUGAGGGCAACGACAGAGAAGAGAGGUCUGAGACGGUUCCAGUCACGGCGGUGUCCUGAGGCUGAAACGGGGUGUUCCUCUCCUAGGGUCAGGGCUGACUUGCCCAACUAAAGAAGGAGCUUUAUGGCCAGCGACAGUAGAUCUUACACAGCAGAGGUUCUGCUUGGGAUUCUCAUUAUUUCAAGACCUACAGUGAGCUCAAAAAAGAAAUUGUUUCAGAACAAUUUAGGGGAAGUUCUGAGAGGUGGAGGCGCCAGGACAUUGAGGCUGCAGAGAUGAUGAGGAUAGUGGUGGGUCCAUAGAAUGUAACAGCUCCUGCUUUCAGAUUUCCUGGUGGUGCAGCUCAUGCUGGGGACAGGUCCUUCAUAUUUGGUGUAAGGAACCUGCAGCUUCCAUGCUAUUUAUCUGCCUGGGAAUCUCAGGAAGGCAGCCUAGAAAGUGUCUAUUUAUUUUGGCAUCCUUGGCCUGGCUAUGCUUUGUCCAAGCUUGUCUGAGGCUAACGCCCAAGUAAGUCCUGGGCAUCCCAUCCUAGCAGGGGAAGUGAGUGUCCCCAGCUUCUAAAAUCACCUGGGCAGGGGACCACGGAGGUGAUGAAACCAGAUUUAGAAGCUGAAUGUCAGAGACCAGAAAAUUAGUGCUGACAAGGGGUUUGAUCAGAAUUGUGAUUAUAGG